Molecule: ribosomal RNA, 1340 nt
Filed under: uncultured bacterium
Lineage: Bacteria
Description: bacterial SSU rRNA
Rfam family: Bacterial small subunit ribosomal RNA
Source: RNAcentral
GACGAACGCUGGCGGCGUGCUUAACACAUGCAAGUCGAACGGUAAGGCCCUUCGGGGUACACGAGUGGCGAACGGGUGAGUAACACGUGGGUGAUCUGCCCUGCACUUUGGGAUAAGCCUGGGAAACUGGGUCUAAUACCGAAUACACCCUGCUGGUCGCAUGGCCUGGUGGGGGAAAGCUUUUGCGGUGUGGGAUGGGCCCGCGGCCUAUCAGCUUGUUGGUGGGGUGAUGGCCUACCAAGGCGACGACGGGUAGCCGGCCUGAGAGGGUGUCCGGCCACACUGGGACUGAGAUACGGCCCAGACUCCUACGGGAGGCAGCAGUGGGGAAUAUUGCACAAUGGGCGCAAGCCUGAUGCAGCGACGCCGCGUGAGGGAUGACGGCCUUCGGGUUGUAAACCUCUUUCAAUAGGGACGAAGCGCAAGUGACGGUACCUAUAGAAGAAGCACCGGCCAACUACGUGCCAGCAGCCGCGGUAAUACGUAGGGUGCGAGCGUUGUCCGGAAUUACUGGGCGUAAAGAGCUCGUAGGUGGUUUGUCGCGUUGUUCGUGAAAACUCACAGCUUAACUGUGGGCGUGCGGGCGAUACGGGCAGACUGGAGUACUGCAGGGGAGACUGGAAUUCCUGGUGUAGCGGUGGAAUGCGCAGAUAUCAGGAGGAACACCGGUGGCGAAGGCGGGUCUCUGGGCAGUAACUGACGCUGAGGAGCGAAAGCGUGGGGAGCGAACAGGAUUAGAUACCCUGGUAGUCCACGCCGUAAACGGUGGGUACUAGGUGUGGGUUUCCUUCCUUGGGAUCCGUGCCGUAGCUAACGCAUUAAGUACCCCGCCUGGGGAGUACGGCCGCAAGGCUAAAACUCAAAGAAAUUGACGGGGGCCCGCACAAGCGGCGGAGCAUGUGGAUUAAUUCGAUGCAACGCGAAGAACCUUACCUGGGUUUGACAUGCACAGGACGCCGGCAGAGAUGUCGGUUCCCUUGUGGCCUGUGUGCAGGUGGUGCAUGGCUGUCGUCAGCUCGUGUCGUGAGAUGUUGGGUUAAGUCCCGCAACGAGCGCAACCCUUGUCUCAUGUUGCCAGCACGUUAUGGUGGGGACUCGUGAGAGACUGCCGGGGUCAACUCGGAGGAAGGUGGGGAUGACGUCAAGUCAUCAUGCCCCUUAUGUCAAGGGCUUCACACAUGCUACAAUGGCCGGUACAAAGGGCUGCGAUGCCGUGAGGUGGAGCGAAUCCUUUCAAAGCCGGUCUCAGUUCGGAUCGGGGUCUGCAACUCGACCCCGUGAAGUCGGAGUCGCUAGUAAUCGCAGAUCAGCAACGCUGCGGUGAAUACGUUCCCGGGCCU